Molecule: ribosomal RNA, 253 nt
Filed under: uncultured bacterium
Lineage: Bacteria
Description: partial 16S ribosomal RNA
Rfam family: Bacterial small subunit ribosomal RNA
Source: RNAcentral
UACGGGGGGGGCGAGCGUUGUUCGGAAUUACUGGGCGUAAAGGGUUCGUAGGUGGCCUGCUAAGUCAGACGUGAAAUCCCUCAGCUUAACUGGGGAACUGCGUCUGAAACUGGCGGGCUUGAGUGCAGGAGAGGAACGCGGAAUUCCAGGUGUAGCGGUGAAAUGCGUAGAUAUCUGGAGGAACACCGGUGGCGAAGGCGGCAUCCUGGACCGGUAUUGACGCUGAGGCGCGAAAGCCAGGGGAGCAAACGGG